Molecule: long non-coding RNA, 206 nt
Filed under: Capsicum annuum
Lineage: Eukaryota; Viridiplantae; Streptophyta; Magnoliopsida; Solanales; Solanaceae
Description: long non-coding RNA (CANN_LNC014998)
Source: RNAcentral
AAGAAAACAAUUACAUUAAAAAUGAUUUAAAUAGAUGAUCUUGGAAUGGUGAUGACACUUAAUAGACCGUCGUAGAUCAUGAACUAUGUCAUCCAUCGAUCAGUAUAGUCUAUCAUAGACUUACACGUUUAUUAUCGCAUCGACUGAUAUCAUGAUUAGGCAUAGACCACGAUGAUCUAUGUACAAGGUUAUAGACCAUCACUUGG